This 351-nucleotide ribosomal RNA is filed under the name uncultured Paracoccus sp. RNAcentral's name for it is "bacterial SSU rRNA". It matches the Rfam family "Bacterial small subunit ribosomal RNA", at positions 985 to 1370 of the family's 1533-position model. The record is from RNAcentral. Lineage: Bacteria; Pseudomonadati; Pseudomonadota; Alphaproteobacteria; Rhodobacterales; Paracoccaceae.
CGUCUGUACACAUCAGAGAUGAGAUGUCGCUCGACCGUGAGACAGGUGCUGCAUGGCUGUCGUCAGCUCGUGUUGUGAAAUGUGGUAGUCCGCAACGAGCGCAACCCUUAUCCUUUGUUGCCAGCAGNUCCGGCCGGGAACUCAGAGACUGCCAGUGAUAAACUGGAGAGGAUGACGUCAAGUCAUCAUGGCCCUUACGACCAGGGCUACACACGUGCUUACAAUGGCGCAUACAGAGCGACCNCGCGAGAGCAAGCCAAACCUCAUAAAGCGCCGGAUUGGAGUCUGCAACUCGACUCCAUGAAGUCGGAAUCGCUAGUAAUCGUGGAUCAGAAUGCCACGGUGAAUACG